CAUAAUUUAUGAUAUCAAGUUGGAAAUCAAUAGAAAUGGCUAUGAAGGUCGGUUGGGUUGGACGAUUCUCUGGAGGAUGAGAGAGAUUUGGACAUGGCAGAUCGUAGGGCUACAGAGAUUGAGCUUGAUACCAUGGAGGGUUUUGCGUCAAGGGAAAAGCUCCACCAUCAUCUCAACGACCAAGGUUUCUUGACUUGAAGUUUAGUUUGUCUAUCAUAUUUAGAGAUAAUAAACGAGUCUCUGGGAGGUAUGCAAUGAGCUUUAAGUAGGUCAAUUAAUAGAUCCCAUGAAUCCAAGUGCACCACUUGCAUGAGUUGGAUGAAGUUGUGGGUUACAUGAGCCUGUGUUACCCUUUUGGGCUAACUGCCUCGGUUCUGUUUGGAAGACAUCAUAAGGCCAUAUUACAAUCUCCAAAAAAAAACUUUCCUUGUUCUUCUUUGCUUUAACUUCAUCAGCCUCCAGAUCUAAUAUUAAUUUUUCUCUUAGAUUCAGAAAUUGAUAAAUCUCUUAAACAAGGUUUAUCCCAUUUUUUUCUUCAGUAGUGUAGAAAGACAUGUUGCCAAUGUAUACGGUUGUUGAAUUUUGGAGUGCGUGUUCAUAUUCUUAUUGUGUUCCUGGAAACCUUUUGUCACGAUACGCUGAAAUCUUUGUUGGAUCCUGUAACAUUAACAUAGGUAAUGAAUAGAAUGCACACUGAUAAGUGAUAUUGGUAAUUUAGUAAUUUUAAAAAUAGGAAAAAUAUUGGAUAUUACCUUGAACAGCAACGCCAUUGCACCUUAUCUGAAAAUGAAGACAAGUAGUAUAUUGUGUUGUUACUCUCGAGUUAAUAGUUACACAUGCUUAUAGAAACAAAUCUGAUGAUGUUUAAAUUAGUAUGACUAUCACAUUUGUUGCAUGAAAUUAUUCUUACAGAACCAACUCUGAUGAUGUUUAAAUUAGAUGAGAAGCUGAAGUUGAUAGAAUCUCGUCUGGAAAGCAAAGUAUUUACUAAACCACCUCAAUACUCAACCCCUUUUACAUUGUUUUCAUCAUAUUGUUACAUAUAACAAGAUACACUUUUUGUUAUUGUAGAAUUGAGGGCCCACUUCUGGCUUACAUCCUCGUUGACGUACAUCACGUGAUAUUCCUCCGGUGUGGAGUUAAGAAUUUGGGGGUUUCUUUCAAGAAGCAAGUAAAAUGUACAGCAACUAAAGUUUACUUGGUCUCAAAUUCUUCUUGCCCAGGUUCCAAUGGCUCCAAAACAGCCAAACACAGGACUCUUUGUGGGUCUAAAUAAAGGGCAUGUUGUCACCAAGAAGGAAUUAGCACCUCGUCCUUCCGACAGAAAAGGGGCUUAUCAAGAUAUUCUCUAGCUUUGAGAGCUGCAUAAGGCUAAUGAUUAAAAAAAGAAAAAAUGGAGAUUCUAAAGAUCAUCAUCCAAAUGCACCAAAAUUUAGAGUAAGAUCGAACCACUAUUAAUGAAGGUAUUC
Molecule: long non-coding RNA, 1469 nt
Organism: Lactuca sativa (garden lettuce)
Lineage: Eukaryota; Viridiplantae; Streptophyta; Magnoliopsida; Asterales; Asteraceae
Source: RefSeq, a predicted model, not a curated record